AUUGAGCGCUGGCGGCAGGCCUAACACAUGCAAGUCGAGCGGAUGAAGGGAGCUUGCUCCUGGAUUCAGCGGCGGACGGGUGAGUAAUGCCUAGGAAUCUGCCUGGUAGUGGGGGAUAACGUCCGGAAACGGGCGCUAAUACCGCAUACGUCCUGAGGGAGAAAGUGGGGGAUCUUCGGACCUCACGCUAUCAGAUGAGCCUAGGUCGGAUUAGCUAGUUGGUGGGGUAAAGGCCUACCAAGGCGACGAUCCGUAACUGGUCUGAGAGGAUGAUCAGUCACACUGGAACUGAGACACGGUCCAGACUCCUACGGGAGGCAGCAGUGGGGAAUAUUGGACAAUGGGCGAAAGCCUGAUCCAGCCAUGCCGCGUGUGUUAAGAAGGUCUUCGGAUUGUAAAGCACUUUAAGUUGGGAGGAAGGGCAGUAAGUUAAUACCUUGCUGUUUUGACGUUACCAACAGAAUAAGCACCGGCUAACUUCGUG
RNAcentral lists this ribosomal RNA (484 nucleotides) under uncultured bacterium. RNAcentral describes it as "partial 16S ribosomal RNA". It matches the Rfam family "Bacterial small subunit ribosomal RNA", at positions 30 to 507 of the family's 1533-position model. The record is from RNAcentral.